This 1552-nucleotide ribosomal RNA is filed under the name Escherichia coli. RNAcentral describes it as "bacterial SSU rRNA". It matches the Rfam family "Bacterial small subunit ribosomal RNA". Lineage: Bacteria; Pseudomonadati; Pseudomonadota; Gammaproteobacteria; Enterobacterales; Enterobacteriaceae. The record is from RNAcentral.
AAAUUGAAGAGUUUGAUCAUGGCUCAGAUUGAACGCUGGCGGCAGGCCUAACACAUGCAAGUCGAACGGUAACAGGAAGAAGCUUGCUGCUUUGCUGACGAGUGGCGGACGGGUGAGUAAUGUCUGGGAAACUGCCUGAUGGAGGGGGAUAACUACUGGAAACGGUAGCUAAUACCGCAUAACGUCGCAAGACCAAAGAGGGGGACCUUCGGGCCUCUUGCCAUCGGAUGUGCCCAGAUGGGAUUAGCUAGUAGGUGGGGUAACGGCUCACCUAGGCGACGAUCCCUAGCUGGUCUGAGAGGAUGACCAGCCACACUGGAACUGAGACACGGUCCAGACUCCUACGGGAGGCAGCAGUGGGGAAUAUUGCACAAUGGGCGCAAGCCUGAUGCAGCCAUGCCGCGUGUAUGAAGAAGGCCUUCGGGUUGUAAAGUACUUUCAGCGGGGAGGAAGGGAGUAAAGUUAAUACCUUUGCUCAUUGACGUUACCCGCAGAAGAAGCACCGGCUAACUCCGUGCCAGCAGCCGCGGUAAUACGGAGGGUGCAAGCGUUAAUCGGAAUUACUGGGCGUAAAGCGCACGCAGGCGGUUUGUUAAGUCAGAUGUGAAAUCCCCGGGCUCAACCUGGGAACUGCAUCUGAUACUGGCAAGCUUGAGUCUCGUAGAGGGGGGUAGAAUUCCAGGUGUAGCGGUGAAAUGCGUAGAGAUCUGGAGGAAUACCGGUGGCGAAGGCGGCCCCCUGGACGAAGACUGACGCUCAGGUGCGAAAGCGUGGGGAGCAAACAGGAUUAGAUACCCUGGUAGUCCACGCCGUAAACGAUGUCGACUUGGAGGUUGUGCCCUUGAGGCGUGGCUUCCGGAGCUAACGCGUUAAGUCGACCGCCUGGGGAGUACGGCCGCAAGGUUAAAACUCAAAUGAAUUGACGGGGGCCCGCACAAGCGGUGGAGCAUGUGGUUUAAUUCGAUGCAACGCGAAGAACCUUACCUGGUCUUGACAUCCACGGAAGUUUUCAGAGAUGAGAAUGUGCCUUCGGGAACCGUGAGACAGGUGCUGCAUGGCUGUCGUCAGCUCGUGUUGUGAAAUGUUGGGUUAAGUCCCGCAACGAGCGCAACCCUUAUCCUUUGUUGCCAGCGGUCCGGCCGGGAACUCAAAGGAGACUGCCAGUGAUAAACUGGAGGAAGGUGGGGAUGACGUCAAGUCAUCAUGGCCCUUACGACCAGGGCUACACACGUGCUACAAUGGCGCAUACAAAGAGAAGCGACCUCGCGAGAGCAAGCGGACCUCAUAAAGUGCGUCGUAGUCCGGAUUGGAGUCUGCAACUCGACUCCAUGAAGUCGGAAUCGCUAGUAAUCGUGGAUCAGAAUGCCACGGUGAAUACGUUCCCGGGCCUUGUACACACCGCCCGUCACACCAUGGGAGUGGGUUGCAAAAGAAGUAGGUAGCUUAACCUUCGGGAGGGCGCUUACCACUUUGUGAUUCAUGACUGGGGUGAAGUCGUAACAAGGUAACCGUAGGGGAACCUGCGGUUGGAUCACCUCCUUACCUUAAAGAA